UUUUACUCUUAAGAUAUUCUUCUCUUGCAGUAUAACUAACUGAAUGGUUUUCACUUUGGCCAUCACUGUUAGUCCGAGAUUCAGUCUCAGACCAAUCAACAUUAGCUACUCCUAGGAAUUUCAAUUUUAUAUCUAUAAAAACAUCCGAUCUACUAAUCUCAAUUAAGACUCGUCCAGUAAUGGUUUGACCUGGUGUAAAUACUGCUGUUGGAUCAUCAAAAAUUAUCUGUAUAUUAUGCACACCCAUUGUUAUUUUAGAAUUGUUGUUGUGUGUGAGCUACUGCAUGUUUCUACAUCUCAUAUGUAGUCAUCGCAUACAUUUUAUACUUAAUUAACAUAUGAAUAAAUAUGUAAAUUAAUUACAGUGUAUUUAAUAAUAAUUAUUAUUAAGCACGAAUAAACUGUACUUAACUGAUUAUCUAUCUCAUACGUUUACGGCUACAUUCAGUACAUUCACGUUUAUUGCCAGACCCAGGUUUAAUUAAAGUAUUAUACCUACUAUUAAAUAUUAAUAUAAAAGAUUCAUCAAGAAAAAGUUUAAUCGUCAUCAUCGUGAAGUCGUUAAAAAUUACCAUUGAUGGGUGGUAGAUGA
Long non-coding RNA from Aphis gossypii (cotton aphid), 592 nucleotides. RefSeq lists it as uncharacterized. Lineage: Eukaryota; Metazoa; Arthropoda; Insecta; Hemiptera; Aphididae. The record is from RefSeq and is a predicted model, not a curated record. The transcript is spliced from 3 exons.